AUAUGUAUCUUUUAUAGAAAUACAUUUUAACAUGUGUACUUGUGUUAUUUCAGCAAUGUUUGGGUGUUUUAAUUAUUCCUGUAACCCACCUUGAGGAGAAGCAGAAAGGAAGGAAGGAAGAUCUGAAGUUUAUGGAUACUGCAAGGAGCUACAGAGUUCAAAAACACGAGUGCUUGCU
This 178-nucleotide long non-coding RNA is filed under the name Anolis carolinensis (green anole). Its description in RNAcentral is "lncRNA (ENSACAG00000042523.1)". The record is from RNAcentral. Lineage: Eukaryota; Metazoa; Chordata; Lepidosauria; Squamata; Anolidae.